AGUGGGAUAGCUGGGUCAAAUGGUGGUUUACAUUCCAAGUUUUCUAAGGAACCUCCAUAGCACUUUACAGAGUGGUUGCACUAAUUUGCAGUCCCACUAGCAAU
This 104-nucleotide microRNA precursor is filed under the name Marmota monax (woodchuck). Lineage: Eukaryota; Metazoa; Chordata; Mammalia; Rodentia; Sciuridae. The record is from RNAcentral.